UACCACAGUCAUAUCACCCUGCAGCCCAAGACCGUCUAAUUACUGAAGCUAAGCAGGGCUGCGCCUGGUCAGUACCUGGAUUAGAGACCACAUGGGAAAACUAGGUUGCUGUUGGAA
Ribosomal RNA from Danio rerio (zebrafish), 117 nucleotides. The record is from Ensembl. NCBI's taxonomy places the organism in Eukaryota, Metazoa, Chordata, Actinopteri, Cypriniformes, Danionidae.